This 425-nucleotide ribosomal RNA is filed under the name uncultured beta proteobacterium. Its description in RNAcentral is "bacterial SSU rRNA". It matches the Rfam family "Bacterial small subunit ribosomal RNA", at positions 356 to 774 of the family's 1533-position model. The record is from RNAcentral. Lineage: Bacteria; Pseudomonadati; Pseudomonadota; Betaproteobacteria.
GGGGAAUUUUGGACAAUGGGGGCAACCCUGAUCCAGCCAUGCCGCGUGAGUGAAGAAGGCCUUCGGGUUGUAAAGCUCUUUCGGACGGAAAGAAAACGGAUGGGUUAAUACCCUGUUCGGAUGACGGUACCGUCAUAAGAAGCACCGGCUAACUACGUGCCAGCAGCCGCGGUAAUACGUAGGGUGCGAGCGUUAAUCGGAAUUACUGGGCGUAAAGCGUGCGCAGGCGGUUGAUUAAGACAGGCGUGAAAUCCCCGGGCUUAACCUGGGAACUCGGCUUGUGACUGGUCGGCUAGGGUCCGGCAGGGGGGGUUGGAUUUCCACGUGUAGCAUUGAAUGCGUAGAGAUGUGGAGGAACACCGAUGGCGAAGGCAGCCCCCUGGGCCGAUACUGACGCUCAUGCACGAAAGCGUGGGUAGCAAACA